GAGGGUAUAGCUCAGUGGUAGAGCACAUGCUUAGCAUGCACGAGGUCCUGGCUUCCACCCACAGUACCUCCA
This 72-nucleotide transfer RNA is filed under the name Camelus bactrianus (Bactrian camel). It matches the Rfam family "tRNA". Rfam says of the family: Transfer RNA (tRNA) molecules are approximately 80 nucleotides in length. RNAcentral also lists the same sequence under 1 other name. The record is from Rfam by way of RNAcentral. Lineage: Eukaryota; Metazoa; Chordata; Mammalia; Artiodactyla; Camelidae.